Homo sapiens (human) is the source of this 6757-nucleotide long non-coding RNA. Lineage: Eukaryota; Metazoa; Chordata; Mammalia; Primates; Hominidae. The record is from Ensembl.
GUCCAUGUUGGCCAGGCUGGUCACGAACUCCUGAGCGCAGGUGAUCCACCUGCCUCGGCCUCCCAAAGUGCUGGGAUUACAGGCACGAGCCACCAUGCCCAGCCCAAGAUCUCCUCUUCUCUCUGUUAUGUUGCUAUUACCCGGGACACUUUAAUACCAUAAAUAUGUUUUCUAACCUUACUGAGUUAUUUGCUAAUUUAACAUCCUUAUUUUAUUUAGUGUUCCAAUUAUGAGCAUCUGUGGCUUGCAGAAUUGUGUCAACUUGCUAGAGACAGACUUUUGAUUUAGCAUUCGUUUCCAUUUUUAUGCUUAUCUGUCUUUUUUAUUUGUGUUUGCAGAAUUUUCAAUUUCUCAUCAAUCUCUCUGGGUCAUUAUUAUUGUCUUAGCAUCUCAUUGUCCAGAUUUUCAAGAAGUUAAGAAAGCUUAGUCAGAUGGUUGACUAUAUUUUGUAAAUAUAUGACUCAGCUAAUGGCUCUUUGAAAUUUACAUGGACUUUUUUUACUUAGUAGUCUUAGUCUGUGUAAUGCCAUCUUUGAGGGACUUCCAUGCACAAUCUCAUAUCAUCUCCGUAUAUUUGUUUCUAGCUGGGUAUUUGAGGCUAGAUAGACUCACAAGAUGUUUACAGAAACAAAGAUGAGUCAAAAAUCCAAAUCUCCUAAUUAGUGUAAUUUUCAAUAUAGCCCAGUCCUGUCCAGCAUCAGGAGACUUGACAGCCCCCAAACCAAAAGGGCAUCUGAAAUACAUAUUGCUCAUCCCUCCGCCUGCCUCCCCCAUGCCGAGACAGGAGCUGUGGUGAGCGUGUGGAUGGCACAGGCUCUGCGGGUGUCUGACUAGAGAGCCUCAGUUACGCGCUCUCCACCUCAUCACACAGCAGCCCCGUGUAAUAGAAAUCGCUUAUUAUGAGGGUUGGCUAAAUAAAGGCACAUUGUGACCAGUCACAAUUUCUAAAUGAAUCCUCCUGACUGAUCUGGUCCUGACACUUUCAAAGCUGCCGUUAUUACUGAACCUGAACAUGUGGAAAGGACAAGUCAAGACAGAAUGAUAAAAUUCUUGAAUGCUUUUGCUUAAAAUUAUUCAUUCUCUUGUGUGUGUGUAAAUGGGGACACACACACACACAUACACACACUCCAUAGACACUCUCGCAUACUUAAACGGUUCCCUAGGUGCACUUUUAUCAUUUUAUCUCAUCUCACUUUGGUAGUUUCCAUUGUAGUCCUUCUGUAGACUAAUUCUCUAAAUAUUUAGAAAAAUAAGAGGGUCUUUUAUCUGUGUGUAGUCGUGGAUUUUGCUGCCUCUUAAAGCAUUAUCUUUUCUAAGUCCUUAAGUGUUAGAAGUGGGAAAACCAUCUUUCUUUUAAAUUUAGCAAAUGGCACUUAUGUGCAUAUGUACUGAUGCCAUAUACACACUUACACUGUAAUAGAAACAUCGUGGAAAAGCAAACCAUAGGCUUUUAUCAUAGGCAUGAGCUUUUUCCCUCUCAUCUCCGCCUGGAAAGAUGGUUAGGAGAAUGAGAGGCCUCUCUGGAUCUGUAUUUAUAAGCCUUACUGGAAAAAAAAAGUCAAUUAUUUUUUAGACUCAGCUCACACCAUAAUAAAUGUGAAUCUAAACAAUCGCUCAAGUGCUUUCUAAGCAAUGGUUCUAUCUAUGAUCACUCAGACUUCCUUCUUUUAUUUAGUAAAAAGGUAACAAAUAAGAAUGGAGUGCCAUUUGCAUGUUUCUUAUUUUUACUCAAUAUGGAGUCCAGUGGUUGAGUAGGCUCAUCCAGUAGCAAAGAGAAGCAAACAAAAUUGAUUUCCUGUAGCCCACAGUGAUUUUCCCUAGAUUUAGAGAGCAUGUGAUUCCAAGAUGGGUGUGGGGUAAAACUCUCAAGGCUUUCCUGGCGAGAGACCCGGGCAUGCUGGUGGAGAAACCAGACAUCAUGCUUGGGAGGUUGGGGCCUCUCUCCUCCUUGAAUGAGCUCUGUUUUAGGAUGUUGUUCAUGUGAAAGUAUUGCACUUACCUCAGCAUAAAAUGUCAAGCCAUCACAUCCUUGGGAUAGAAACAAUUAAGGAAGGAUUUAUGUUUGUAAAAACAUGUGCCUAUUAAGGUAAGUAAUUAGGGCACAUGAAAGAAAGAUAAUAUGGAGAUGUAAAAAUUGGGGGUUCUGCAGUCAGACCCCCUGGAUUUAAAUCCUAGCUCCACUUGCUGAGUGACCUUGGGCUAGUCAUUGAACCUCUCUGAGCCUCAGCUUCUUUCCCUGUGAAAUGGGGAAACUAAUGGGUUUAUUGUGAGUAUUAAAUGAGUUAAUACAUGCAAAACAAUUCACACAUAGUAAGCAUGAAAUAAAUACUAAUUAUUAUCAUUGUUACGCACUAAGAAAGGAUUUUUGCAACUAAAGUGUCAAAAGAAAUGGAGAUGCUAAAGAAUUAUUUGGCUUUAAAAGAUGAAUUCCAGUACAAAAUGAGGCUGUUUAACAACCAGAUUCCAUAUUACAAUCAGAAAGUUCCAGCAGAGUACCUCAGGCUUCAUCUGGGGAACAUGUUUAAAGGUACCAAUAAUUUUUGGGUUUUUUUUUCCAAUUUUAAUAAAUGAAAUUCUCAUUCCUUUCUGUCUGUCUCUCUGUUAGCGCUAUUGCUUUAUCUUACUCUGUAGUCUGUAUUUCUCUUCCUAGUUUCUUUUUUUUUUAGAACUAGUUGUGAAUUCUUUAUUCUCUCACAUAGACAUAUGACAGUGGGGAAGGAGGGCAUGUGUGUUUCCUAAAUGUUAGCAAGAAGUCUGUCUUGCCAUCUCCAUAGAGUGGAAAAUUCAGCAAGUAGAGUCUGUUAAUGUCAUUCCCCUUCAAAUCACAUUCAAAAGUGUGCUUAAUGCACUGUGUACAUUAAUCAGACAUUUUGAUCAUGAGUAAUGGUGAUGCCUUCAGAAGUUUGGGGUGGGGGUGUGGGUUUUGUAUAUCUUGGAAGGAAUCCUAAGUCCUUGGGUGACUUCGAAGCAGUCUGUAUGGGCGCUCCUCCCACAUCCAUUGCAUCUUUGUCAGACACAUGGCCCCUAGGCUCCACUUUGUCCAUAGGCAUGGAAAGGUGAAAGUGCCUGGGAAUUAAUAUCUCUGGGGACACUCUGAAGCAAUGACUGCUGGUUAUAUGGGUAUAAAUACUCCAGCUCCCUCACCCCUUGGCUAAAGUAAUUCCAAGGCACGUACUUUGCAGUUUUCCAGAGUUACCCUGUGAGAUUCAACUGCCAUCACCCACUGUGGUAGCUGACUUAAUAAUGCAUCCUAUAUUGUGUGGCCGCCUUCCCUUCCCUGUCUAACUUCUCCCUCACUACCCAGACUCUCUGUAUCUCCCAAUACACCACUCACUUGUUCGGGGUCACUUCUGGAGUUUCCAACCCCAGAUGAUGUGCACACUUUCAGAGGUAGAAGUGAAUCUACUAAGCCUAGACUAGGUAUCAUCAAAACCACUCUGGGCUGCAAACUGGCAGGGUGCAGGCCGCAAAUUUGGCAGAGCUCUGCUUUCCCUGGGUUUGGAAUUCCACUGACUCAGAGCCUGAAUAAUCGUGGAGGCAGACCUGUCAAGGUGUUAUCUGAAGAGCUGUUGGGGAAGUGGACCAAGACCACAGCUGCCCAUUCUCUCACCCCACCUUCUUUCUGCAGAGUGGCCCAUUUGUGAUUCAGGAGAAAGAGUGCAGGAGCAGUGGUCAGCAUGCUGUGAUCGAUGAUUUCUGAGCGUGGGUGGGCCUUGACAAAUGCUCCUAUCCACUUCAUUCCCUCUUAAUAGACCCAUCAGACAGGUGCUUGUUGUUUUCCAGUGCCAACCUGGGUAAACCAGUCAUCAUGUGCCCCAGUGUGUCAAAGAAAAUGCCUGCUUCCCAGAAGGUUUCCCACUAAUGGGGAAAAGAAGGUUGAUUCACACAGCCUUUUAUUGCAAACCAAUUCAUUCUUUGGCAAUCUGAAACCAAAACUGCACAUUUAGCCAGGCAGGUCUUUUAAAAGCAUGUCCUUUACCGUACUGUCCAUUGCAGACUCCCAUCCAUAUCUUCUUUCUUGUUUUGUGUUAUCAUUUUUGUGAUGCUUUAAUACUCAAUACAUGAACUGAAGCUAUGUGGCUUCUGUAUCGCAGUGUAUUAGGAUUCCAGAAAGACAUGCAAUCCCUGAGCAGACAAUAAAUUUGAUUUUGCACAAGUGGCAUCCUUUAUACUUUGCUCAUAAGGCGAUCUCUCAAGUGUAUUUUUUUUUCUGAAACACAACACAAAUAGUCUGAUGAAGUAAAAAUGGGUUGCAUGAUGGGUUUUGUGCUCAGCAAAAAGAACUUGGACAAAGCAGCCAUGCUGAUGUUCUUAUUUACAAAGGUUGCCGUCUGGGAAAUUAAUCUCUGCUGUUGCUCAGUAAUUAGGAAAAUUUAGGACCCCUAGUGCUCCAGCAUCUUGCAUUAAAGGUUGUAUGUCAUUGGUGUUUUCAUGAGAGUUUGCUGGAUUUCUGUCAUUAAUAACAGGCAUAAGCCCAGCAAGCAGUAGAAUAUGCAUUGCAUUUAAUCAAUUUGCUAUUUGUAUUCAUUAUGCAUGUCAUCCGUUUUGAGUCAUGAAAAAUUGAAAGGCCAUUACGAAUAGAAAGAGCAUCAUGGAUUACAAAUGAUGUAACAAGAGCAUAAGCGCUAUUAAUUGGUCAAUUGUGCUUGUCGGUACAUUUAAAGUGAUUAAGGCAGAAAGAUUAGAAAGGACACGAAUGUGCUUGGGAAACAGAAGCAUAGCAACACAAGGGCUCUCCCAAGUCCUUUGUGCCCAAAUAAAUGCAGCAAAAUCCAAUGGCAUUUAUUCCAACUAAUUCAUUAAACAGAUAUUAGUUGAGCACUUACCAUGUGCUGAGUACAAGGAUUGUACUGAGUACAGCAGAAAACAAAAUAAGUGAAGCCCUUGACCUCAGGGAUUUACCUUCCAGAGGGGAGGGGGAAGUAUGAAAUGAACAAAUAGAUAUACAAUAUAAUAUAUUGUAGUAGCAGAGACCAUGAAGACCACCAGAAGCAGAGAGGAAGCCCUCUUUGGGGAAAUGACAUUUGAACAGAGGUUUAAAUGAAGAAAAUAAAAAGACAGGGGGUCCGAGCACAGUGGCUCAUGCCUGUAAUCCCAGCACUUUGGGAGGCUGAGGUGGGAAAAUCACUUGAGCCCAGGAGUUUGAGACCUGGGCAACAUGGUGAAACUAUCUCUACAAAAAUACAAAAAUUAGCCAGGCGUGGCAGUGCACACCUGUAGUCCCAGCUACUCAGGAGACUGAGGUGGGAGGAUCGCUUGAGUCCAGGAAGUCGAGGCUGCAGUGAGUCCAGAUCACGCCACUGCACUCCAGCCUAGGUGAUAGAGCGAAACCCUGUCUAAUAAAAGAAAAAUAAAAUUAAAAGGCUACAUGGAUAUCUGGGGGAAGAAUAGACUCAAUAUCCCCCACUCCCAUUCCAACACUCAAGAAGAAAAGAAAAUUCUUGCAAUUAUUUUUUUACUCAAGUGAUUUUGUGAGGCUUGACCCAAUAAUGGAAUGGCUUUGCCAAGGCUAGAGAACUCACUCAGCCGGUUUUCCCAUUACAGACCUCUUGGGUGAUAGCAAUUCUGUUAAAGUGGAAACUGAUGGCAUCAUUUGCCAUUUUUACUGUCCCCAUACAUAGUCCUUACCAUGGCAUGCAGACCCCUACGCUAUCCAGCUCCUGCCUCCCAUUUCAUACCACUCCUCCUUCUCCUGCCAAGUUCUAGCCCCUGGACUUUCUGUUGCUCACAUUUCCAGUUCGUUCCUGCCUCUGCACCCAUGCAUUUGCUGUCUCCUGCCCUCAGAAAUCCAGACCUGAGCUCCCAGGCCACAUCCUCAGAGACACCCUCCAUGACCACCAGGGUUGCACCUGCUCCCUGGCCCCUGUGAUUUGAUCCCACUACACUCAUUACUGCCUGAGUUCUGUGCUAUCUGCUUACUCGUUUCUUACCUACCUCCCAUGUUUGAUAUAAGUUCCAUGAGACUAGGCCCAGGUCACUUGAGUUCACUGCGGUAUCCCAUCACCUGGAACAGUGCCCGGUACAAAGAGGCUCAGUACGCCCAAAUCAAAUGAAUGAAUGAGUGGAUCAAUCAAUCAGCCAACCAGCCAAAAAUAAAAUGAAAAAUUGACAGUUGGGUUUCUGCUUUUGUAUUCGGUAACUAUUUUAAAAUUUUGUAUUUAGGUAGCUAUUUUUUUAAACCACAUGAAAGAAAGGGAUGUUUGUUCUGCACAGCAUUCUCUGGAGUGAUUAGGUAGCAUUGGUAUUUGUGCUUCAUGUGUCUACAAUCUAUUGCCAUGCAUUUCUAAUAACAUAAUAUUCCUUUUCAAUAUACUGACUUGUUUUUCUUUUUCUUUUCUUUUUUGUUUUUACUGGCUAAAUGCUAUAGCAUUGUCUUUGAAUAUUAGCAAAUAAUGGAACAUGGGCCAAGGGUGAACCAUGACGAAUUUGUGUUCCAGCAGCCCUGCUUCUUUAGAAUUGACAGUCUGGCUUCGUGGUUAAUUCACAGCAUCUGAGGAAUACAUCCAAAGAGGGUGAUACUGUGGCAUGAUGGUACCAGGAUUCCAAGUUCAUUCCAGGUAUGAGAGAAGGGAAAAUAAGAGAAUCUGCCUGGUAACCAUCAGGGGGAAUGAAUUAACAUGUUCUCUAAGACUAUGUUAGAAGGUCAGAGCCCAGCACAGUGGUACAUGCUGUAAUCCUAGCACUUUGGGAGGCUGAGGCAGGAGGAUCACUUGAGCCCAGGAGAUCAAGGCUGCAGUGAGACAUGAUCACGCCACUG